UUUCCAAAAAAGAUAAAUACGAUUGCAUUGCAUGAAUUAACGGAUGCGAUCAUACCAGCAUUAAUGCACCGGAUCCCAUUAGAACUCCGCAGCUAAGCGUGCUUGGCUGAGAGUAGUACUAGGAUGGGUGACUCCUAUGAAGUCCUCGUGCAGCUUCCCUCUU
RNAcentral lists this small RNA (163 nucleotides) under Arabidopsis thaliana (thale cress). Lineage: Eukaryota; Viridiplantae; Streptophyta; Magnoliopsida; Brassicales; Brassicaceae. The record is from RNAcentral.